UACGUAGGGGGCAAGCGUUGUCCGGAUUUAUUGGGCGUAAAGAGCGUGUAGGCGGCUUUGCAAGUCCGUUGUGAAAACUCGAGGCUCAACCUCGAGACGCCGGUGGAAACUGCAAAGCUAGAGUCCGGAAGAGGAGAGUGGAAUUCCUGGUGUAGCGGUGAAAUGCGCAGAUAUCAGGAGGAACACCCGUGGCGAAAGCGGUUCUCUGGGACGGUACUGACGCUGAGACGCGAAAGCGUGGGGAGCGAACAGG
Molecule: ribosomal RNA, 253 nt
Filed under: uncultured bacterium
Lineage: Bacteria
Description: partial 16S ribosomal RNA
Rfam family: Bacterial small subunit ribosomal RNA
Source: RNAcentral